CCUACGGGAGGCUGCAGUGGGGAAUAUUGGACAAUGGGCGAAAGCCUGAUCCAGCCAUGCCGCGUGUGUGAAGAAGGCCUUCGGGUUGUAAAGCACUUUCAGUGGGGAAGAAAGCCUUGGGGCUAAUACCCUCGAGGAAGGACAUCACCCACAGAAGAAGCACCGGCUAACUCCGUGCCAGCAGCCGCGGUAAUACGGAGGGUGCGAGCGUUAAUCGGAAUUACUGGGCGUAAAGCGCGCGUAGGCGGUCUGAUAAGCCGGUUGUGAAAGCCCCGGGCUCAACCUGGGAACGGCAUCCGGAACUGUCAGGCUAGAGUGCAGGAGAGGAAGGUAGAAUUCCCGGUGUAGCGGUGAAAUGCGUAGAGAUCGGGAGGAAUACCAGUGGCGAAGGCGGCCUUCUGGACUGACACUGACGCUGAGGUGCGAAAGCGUGGGUAGCAAACAGGAUUAGAUACCCCGAUAGUC
RNAcentral lists this ribosomal RNA (465 nucleotides) under Vreelandella stevensii. RNAcentral's name for it is "partial 16S ribosomal RNA". It matches the Rfam family "Bacterial small subunit ribosomal RNA", at positions 338 to 795 of the family's 1533-position model. Lineage: Bacteria; Pseudomonadati; Pseudomonadota; Gammaproteobacteria; Oceanospirillales; Halomonadaceae. The record is from RNAcentral.